CAAAGCUCAAAUUUAGAAAUCUGGCUCUUUCAGAGUCCGAGUUGUAAUUUGAAGAAGGUAUCUUUGGGUCUGGCUCUUGUCUAUGUUUCUUGGAACAGAACGUCACAGAGGGUGAGAAUCCCGUGCGAUGAGAUGAUCCAGGCCUAUGUAAAGUUCCUUCGAAGAGUCGAGUUGUUUGGGAAUGCAGCUCUAAGUGGGUGGUAAAUUCCAUCUAAAGCUAAAUAUUGGCGAGAGACCGAUAGCGAACAAGUACAGUGAUGGAAAGAUGAAAAGAACUUUGAAAAGAGAGUGAAAAAGUACGUGAAAUUGUUGAAAGGGAAGGGCUUGAGAUCAGACUUGGUAUUUUGUAUGUUACUUCUUCGGGGGUGGCCUCUACAGUUUAUCGGGCCAGCAUCAGUUUGGGCGGUAGGAGAAUUGCGUUGGAAUGUGGCACGGCUUCGGUUGUGUGUUAUAGCCUUCGUCGAUACUGCCAGCCUAGACUGAGGACUGCGGUUUAUACCUAGGAUGUUGGCAUAAUGAUCUUAAGUCGCCCGUCUUGAAACACGGACCCA
This 551-nucleotide ribosomal RNA is filed under the name Candida tropicalis. Its description in RNAcentral is "eukaryotic LSU rRNA". It matches the Rfam family "Eukaryotic large subunit ribosomal RNA", at positions 103 to 669 of the family's 3401-position model. Lineage: Eukaryota; Fungi; Ascomycota; Pichiomycetes; Serinales; Debaryomycetaceae. The record is from RNAcentral.